RNAcentral lists this ribosomal RNA (253 nucleotides) under uncultured bacterium. Its description in RNAcentral is "partial 16S ribosomal RNA". It matches the Rfam family "Bacterial small subunit ribosomal RNA", at positions 524 to 776 of the family's 1533-position model. The record is from RNAcentral.
UACGGGGGGAGCAAGCGUUGUUCGGAUUUACUGGGCGUAAAGGGCGCGUAGGCGGCGUGACAAGUCACUUGUGAAAUCUCCGGGCUUAACUCGGAACGGUCAAGUGAUACUGUCGUGCUAGAGUACAGAAGGGGCAACUGGAAUUCUCGGUGUAGCGGUGAAAUGCGUAGAUAUCGGGAGGAACACCAGUGGCGAAAGCGGCUACCUGGCCCAUUCUUGACGCUGAGGCGCGAAAGCUAGGGGAGCAAACGGG